AUACGGAGGAUCCAAGCGUUAUCCGGAUUUAUUGGGUUUAAAGGGUGCGCAGGCGGCCUUAUAAGUCAGUGGUGAAAUCUCCCGGCUCAACCGGGAAACUGCCAUUGAUACUGUAAGGCUAGAAUACAGACGAGGUAGGCGGAAUGUAGCAUGUAGCGGUGAAAUGCUUAGAUAUGCUACAGAACACCGAUCGCGAAGGCAGCUUACUAAGCCGAUAUUGACGCUCAGGCACGAAAGCGUGGGGAGCGAACAGGAUUAGAAACCCGGGUAGUCC
This 274-nucleotide ribosomal RNA is filed under the name uncultured bacterium. Its description in RNAcentral is "partial 16S ribosomal RNA". It matches the Rfam family "Bacterial small subunit ribosomal RNA", at positions 523 to 796 of the family's 1533-position model. The record is from RNAcentral.